AAUACAAGUGAAACUGCGAAUGGCUCAUUAAAUAAGUUAUAAUUUAUUUGAUCUUAUCUUACCAGUGGAUAUCCGUGGUAAUUCUAGAGCUAAUACAUAUACGCGAAGAGCCGACUUCUGGAAGGCUUGUAUUUAUUAGAUAAAAAACCAAUGUGGGAAACCACUUCUUUGGUGAUUCAUAGUAACUUUACUGACCUCUAUUUGAGGCGUAUCAUAAAAAUUUCUUCCCUAUCAACUUUUGAUGGUAAGGUAGUGGCUUACCAUGGUUUUUACGGGUGACGGGGAAUAAGGGUUCGAUUCCGGAGAGGGAGCCUGAGAAACGGCUACCACAUCCAAGGAAGGCAGCAGGCGCGCAAAUUACCCAAUCCUGAUACAGGGAGGUAGUGACAAUAAAUAACGAUCUAGGGCCCUUUGGGUCAUAGAAUUGGAAUGAGUACAAAUUAAAACUAUUAACGAGGAACAAUUGGAGGGCAAGUCUGGUGCCAGCAGCCGCGGUAAUUCCAGCUCCAAUAGCGUAUAUUAAAGUUGUUGCAGUUAAAACGCCCGUAGUCGAACUUUUAGGAUCAUGAGAGGUUGAUGGCAGGUUUUUGCAUUCAUUUGUAGAGAUUUGUCUUGAUCUUUUGGGGUUCUAAUACGUUAUAUCUCUAGUCUUUGGGCUUAGAUGUUGCCUUUACUGGUAGUGUCUAGGUCAUUUCUCUUCGGAGAGGGCUAGGGAUGAUUACUUUGAAAAAAUUAGAGUGUUCAAAGCAGGCUUUAGUCUGAAUACAUUAGCAUGGAAUAAUAAAAUAAGACUUUGGUUUUAUUUUGUUGGUUUCUAAAACUAAAGGAAUGAUGAAUAGGGUUGGUUGGGGUCAUUAGUAUUUUAUUGCUAGAGGUGAAAUUCUUGGAUUUGUGAAAGACUAACUUCUGCGAAAGCAUUUGACAAGGACAAUCUCAUUGAUCAAGGACGAAAGUUGGGGGAUCGAAGAUGAUUAGAUACCGUCGUAGUCUCAACCAUAAACUAUGCCAACUAGGGAUCAGGGCUCUAUUUAAUUGAGAGUCUUGGCACCUUGUGAGAAAUCAAAGUUU
RNAcentral lists this ribosomal RNA (1068 nucleotides) under Entomophaga aulicae. RNAcentral describes it as "SSU rRNA". It matches the Rfam family "Eukaryotic small subunit ribosomal RNA", at positions 74 to 1106 of the family's 1831-position model. Lineage: Eukaryota; Fungi; Entomophthoromycota; Entomophthoromycetes; Entomophthorales; Entomophthoraceae. The record is from RNAcentral.